Molecule: ribosomal RNA, 388 nt
Filed under: Syndiniales sp.
Lineage: Eukaryota; Dinophyceae; Syndiniales
Description: partial small subunit ribosomal RNA
Rfam family: Eukaryotic small subunit ribosomal RNA
Source: RNAcentral
AUUCCAGCUCCAAUAGCGUAUAUUAAAGUUGUUGCGGUAAAAAAGCUCGUAGUUGGAUUUCUGUUGAGGGCGACCGGUCCAUACAACGUAUGCGUAUCUGGCUCGGCCUCGGCAUCCUCUCGAUAGACGUUUCUGCGCUUGAUUGCGUGGAGCGGAUCUCGGGACUUUUACUUUGAGGAAAUUAGAGUGUUCACGGCAGGCUAUCGCCAGAAUACAUUAGCAUGGAAUAAUACUAUAGGAUCUUGAUUCUAUUUUGUUGGUUUCUAGAAUUGAGAUAAUGAUUAAUAGGGACAAUUGGGGGCAUUCGUAUCAACACGUCAGAGGUGGAAUUCUUGGAUUGUGUUGCGACGAACUACUGCGAAAGCAUUUGCCAAGGAUGUUUUCAUCA